UGAAAAGUAAAGCAUAAGUAUCCCAGAUUGGACUCUUGAACUUGGUGGAUGUUUGACUUUAGUUGGAUCUAGCUUGUUCGUGAAUUUUGUGAAUUUGCACUGUAUGAUGCCUUCAAAGAUAUCUAUUAUGUCUUAAAUUUGAUUUUAUAUCAGUUAACAUUGUUGUGGAGCACACACGCACUAUAUCAGUGAUAACAGUCUAAGAUUUGAUGAUUGAUUGGGAAAUUACUGAUUUGUUUUAAUAUGAUGUAUUAUCAUGUUUACUUGAUUUCUCUAAGGCCGGUUGAAUAGACUUGUUUCUGUCAUUACUGUUGGA
This 316-nucleotide long non-coding RNA is filed under the name Panax ginseng (ginseng). RNAcentral's name for it is "long non-coding RNA (PGIN_LNC005457)". Lineage: Eukaryota; Viridiplantae; Streptophyta; Magnoliopsida; Apiales; Araliaceae. The record is from RNAcentral.